This 491-nucleotide ribosomal RNA is filed under the name uncultured bacterium. RNAcentral describes it as "bacterial SSU rRNA". It matches the Rfam family "Bacterial small subunit ribosomal RNA", at positions 501 to 987 of the family's 1533-position model. The record is from RNAcentral.
CUACGUGCCAGCAGCCGCGGUAAUACGUAGGUCUCAAGCGUUAUCCGGAUUUACUGGGCGUAAAGUGUCCGUAGUCUGAUCUGUAAGUCAGUUUUCAAAUCCUACGACUCAAUCGUAGAAAGGGAAUGGAUACUGCAGAUCUAGAAGUAUCUAGGGGUUAGUGGAAUUUCCGGUGGAGCGGUGAAAUGCGUUGAUAUCGGAAGGAACGCCGAAAGCGAAAGCAGCUAACUAUAGAAUACUUGACGAUGAGGGACGACAGUUUGGGGAGCAAACAGGAUUAGAUACCCUGGUAGUCCAAACCGUAAAUUAUGCUUGCUAGAUGUUUUUAUCAAUUUAUUGGUAGGAGUGUCGUAAUCUAACGAGUUAAGCAAGCCGCCUGGGUAGUAUAUUCGCAAGAAUGAAACUCAAAGGGAUAGGCGGGGGAACACACAAGCAGUGGAUUAUCUAGAUUAAUUGGAUAAUAAGCCAAGGAUCUUACCUAGGAUUGACAU